Non-coding RNA from Pteropus alecto (black flying fox), 116 nucleotides. The record is from Rfam. Lineage: Eukaryota; Metazoa; Chordata; Mammalia; Chiroptera; Pteropodidae.
GUCUAUGGCCAUGCCACCCUGAACAAGCCCAAUGUCCAAUCUUGGAAGUUAAGCAGGGUCAGGCCUGGUUAGUAUUUGGAUAGGAGACCAUCUAGAAAGACCAGGUGCUGUAGGCA